AUCGCCUCCUCUCUCAUACACGUCCAGCAGCCCCUCUCCUUUCUUCUCUUUUCCUUUUCCUUCUCUUUUCUUCCAUCUCCCUUCUCUGUUCUCAGUAGCCGCACCGCAACCCCUCCAUUUCCUCUUCUCUUUGGCUCACACGCAUCAUCCUUCUUCUUUUCUUCUUCCUUUCUCUCCAAUUUCAGACACAGUGAUAGAGGCCGUGAGAGAUCGAGAGAGAGAGCUACCGAGAGGAUGAGACACUGAGAUCGUGAGAGAUGCAGGGACCUACGGACUGGAGGGAAGAAAACUGAGGUUUUGGUCCAUGGGGGUUCGGUAUUUGGGAAUAAAACGGAUCGUGUCAUAAUUGGAGAGUUCAAUGGGUUCUCUAAUGUAGAGUUCGAGUCGUGAUUUCAAUGCAGCCAAGAUGAUGUUUCUUUGGCUGCAGGUAUUCCAGUCGUAGUAUAUGGUGUUGUAGAAGUAUACUGAGGAUAUUAUGACUGAAGCUCAACGCGACGGUUUUAAUGUGUUAGACCGCGGGAUGUCUAUUCCUUUAGGUAUUUUGAUUAUGGCUUGUGACGCUCGUGCCACAUGAUCUUUGUUAAGCCAUUCAUGUUAUGUAUUUAAUUCGAGGAAAGAUUUAAUCAUAUAGUUAUUUAAUGGCUCUUUGUUGUAAUUAUUUGUGAUAGGUGUAUAAGAUGUGACUUCCGCAAUUAGGUUA
Alnus glutinosa is the source of this 700-nucleotide long non-coding RNA. RefSeq lists it as uncharacterized. The transcript has 3 exons. The record is from RefSeq and is a predicted model, not a curated record. NCBI's taxonomy places the organism in Eukaryota, Viridiplantae, Streptophyta, Magnoliopsida, Fagales, Betulaceae.